GAUGAACGCUGGCGGCGUGCUUAACACAUGCAAGUCGAACGAAGCACUUUUAAUUCUUCGGAAGAGGAAGUGACUGAGUGGCGGACGGGUGAGUAACGCGUGGGUAACCUGCCUUAUACAGGGGGCUAACAGUUAGAAAUGACUGCUAAUACCGCAUAAGCCGAUAGAGUCGCAUGACCUAGUCGGAAAAGAUUUAUCGGUAUAAGAUGGACCCGCGUCUGAUUAGCUAGUUGGUGAGGUAAUGGCCCACCAAGGCGACGAUCAGUAGCCGGCUUGGGAGAGUGAACGGCCACAUUGGGACUGGGACACGGCCCAAACUCCUACGGGAGGCAGAAGUGGGGAAUAUUGCACAAUGGGGGAAACCCUGAUGCAGCAACGCCGCGUGAAGGAAGAAGUAUUUCGGUAUGUAAACUUCUAUCAGCAGGGAAGAAAAUGACGGUACCUGACUAAGAAGCCCCGGCUAACUACGUGCCAGCAGCCGCCGUAA
Molecule: ribosomal RNA, 487 nt
Filed under: uncultured bacterium
Lineage: Bacteria
Description: partial 16S ribosomal RNA
Rfam family: Bacterial small subunit ribosomal RNA
Source: RNAcentral